RNAcentral lists this ribosomal RNA (442 nucleotides) under uncultured bacterium. Its description in RNAcentral is "partial 16S ribosomal RNA". It matches the Rfam family "Bacterial small subunit ribosomal RNA", at positions 338 to 795 of the family's 1533-position model. The record is from RNAcentral.
CCUACGGGUGGCAGCAGUGGGGAAUAUUGGGCAAUGGGCGCAAGCCUGACCCAGCAACGCCGCGUGAAGGAAGAAGGCUUUCGGGUUGUAAACUUCUUUUGACAGGGAAGAGCAGAACACGGUACCUGUCGAAUAAGCCACGGCGAACGACGUGCCAGCAGCCGCGGUAAUACGGGGGUGGCAGGCGUUGUCCGGAUUUACUGGGUGUAAAGGGCGUGUAGCCGGGCUGACAAGUCAGAUGUGAAAUCCGGGGGCUCAACCCGGGCCUUGCAGCGCGAACUGGCGUGCUUGAGUCCGCGGGAAGCAGGCGGAAUUCGUCGUGUAGCGGUGAAAUGCUUAGAUAUGACGAAGAACCCCGAUUGCGAAGGCAGCUUGCUGCAGCGGAACUGACGCUGAUGCUCGAAAGCGCGGGUAUCGAACAGGAUUAGAUACCCCAGUAGUC